Molecule: long non-coding RNA, 1981 nt
Filed under: Salvia miltiorrhiza (redroot sage)
Lineage: Eukaryota; Viridiplantae; Streptophyta; Magnoliopsida; Lamiales; Lamiaceae
Description: long non-coding RNA (SMIL_LNC001939)
Source: RNAcentral
AAAUCUCUCACCAGAACUGCUAUAUGAAAUAAGUAUAUAUUAUGAACUAUCGCAUACUAUUGAGCAUGAACAUAUAAGAGUAGAAAUUAAGGGGUUUCCGAGUGCUUUAAAGAUCUGAUAUGGGAACUAGAGUAAGACUCUGAAGGUAUUGAUUGGGCUCAGUGUAGAAAGCUAUUGUUGUUGAUUAACUUCAGCAAUGGAAAUGCAAUUAUUAGGCAGUUAAUUAAUAUAGGUCUUUGGCUACUUGGCUAAACUAGCAGUGUUUUGUUCCCUCAUUGGGGGUGGGGGGACGUUGUGUGUGGGAUCAUAAUUCCCUACUUCUCUUUGUUGUUUGAUAUCCUACACUUUUCUGCCAUGCUUUACAAAUUGAUCUGAAAUGCUGUUUUAAGCAGUGGCAAUCCUUAAUUCUGUGCCUAACAAAAGAAGAAUAAGCAGUGGGAUGAAUUUGAUUUGUGUUUAUCUGCUGAUAAGCCUUUGGUUGGGGAGGCAAGUUUCAUUUUUAUCCCUAUUUAUCUGAUUUUAUCUUUCAUGCGUCUCUAUCUUUUGCUAGUGAUUAGCCACUUGAGGAUCCUUUGGUAUUGAGAUAAGGCUGGAAGGUAUUAGAUCCCUUUGAUUAGUUUCUUGGUAAUUUUGCUGGCCUUGGAUUAUUUCGAGAAUGGAAUAAUUUCCAGAAUGGUUACUUUAAAUUCCUAACCUCCACCCAUCCCCUGCUUGUGUGAGUUGCUCAGUGCAGUGUUGGAAUCACUCUGGAUUUGACCUACUUGUUUAUAAAAGACUUAACAGAAUUAUCAGUAUAAUUUAUAAUCCGACAUGUAUUUGCAGGAGCUCAUUAUUUUCUCAUUUACUGCAUGUGUGUAUUUCUCUUCCUGCCUGAAAAGGAGUUCUUUAUUAUUCCCAAGAAGUAUGUAAUGCUUGCGUUGUUUUGAAUGGGUUAGCUUCCAUACAAUAAGUUUCUUAGAAUCAUUGUUAUGUUACUUGUGAUUAAAUUCUUGUAAAAUCUCAGCAUCUGCUUAAUAUGCCCAAUAAUCUUGUAUUUGAGGGGUUGCAAGUUUCCUACACCUGCUCCCAUGAAGUCCUCAGUUUCAGAUUUUUUACAGCUUUGGUUUCCAACAAAUUUUAGGACGACCUUGUGAAGAAAGCUAUGAGGGAAUUCCUAGUGUUAUGUCGUGUGAUACUUGUGUUUCUCGAUUGCAGCAUACUUUGUAGACUGAUGCAUCCUGUAAUAUGGUAUUUGUUAGGUUCUAACCUUUUCCAAUUUUCUAGGAUAUUUGGUACUGAUAAGGGUUAUAGAAAAUUGAAGGAGCUGAAGAGCGGAGGGGCCGAGACAAUGGUGAAGGAGAUGUAAAAGUUAACGGGACAUCUAGGUUUGUGAUUUUGGAGCAUCAUCGUCUUGACUGGUUUCAUAUCAUUUUGGUUUCUUAGGUUGUUUGCAAUUGCAAUUUGUAUCCCAAUUCUGCUGCAGUUAGUAUUUUGUGUUAUGCGGAAUCAAGUCAUGGCUUGUUAUGGAUUUUGUGCUGCAACGGUAACCACAUGAAUGCAUUCCGCACUUUGUUCAGCUCUCAUUGCUCGACUUCGUUCAUAUCAUCUAGAAAACAUAUAGUUCCCCAACUCUGUAUCUGUAUAUUCAAUUUCUCAAUUUUCUUAGCACAGGUCAAAUCAUCAGUCUGGAGCAGGGCAACAGCUGAAUACUCCAUAUAGGAACAUGAGCUGAUGUUAAACUGUCUUCCUCAAGUCUUAUCAGCUACUAUGAUUGUCUUUAAUUAUAUUUUAUAAUUUAUAUAUAUUAUGUUACAUUUUUCCCAAAUAUUAUAAAUUACUCCCUUCAUUCCAUUAAUGACAUCUCAAUUUCUUUUUUGGUUCAUUUAUAAUGUUUCAACCAAAAAAAAAAAGAAAUAAAUUAAGGUGUGGGUUCCUCCCACUUGAAUGCAAUUUACAAGAUGUGGAUCCUUCCCAGUUUAUUGUUAAAGCAUUUCUUAUUUCU